RNAcentral lists this ribosomal RNA (331 nucleotides) under uncultured eukaryote. RNAcentral's name for it is "partial 18S ribosomal RNA". It matches the Rfam family "Eukaryotic small subunit ribosomal RNA", at positions 1470 to 1796 of the family's 1831-position model. The record is from RNAcentral.
CCCUUAGAUGUUCUGGGCCGCACGCGCGCUACACUGAUGCAUUCAACGAGUCUAAAACCUGGUCUGAUAGGGCUGGGUAAUCUUUUGAAAGUGCAUCGUGAUUGGGAUAGAUGAUUGCAAUUCUUCAUCUUCAACGAGGAAUGCCUAGUAAACGCAAGUCAUCAGCUUGCAUUGAUUACGUCCCUGCCCUUUGUACACACCGCCCGUCGCUCCUACCGAUUGAAUGAUUUAGUGAGGACUUCGGACUGGGACCGAUGCGGCUUUCGGGCUGCGUCGGUAUUCUGGAAAGAUGUCCAAACUGUAUCAUUUAGAGGAAGUAAAAGUCGUAACA